Molecule: non-coding RNA, 2529 nt
Organism: Vicugna pacos (alpaca)
Lineage: Eukaryota; Metazoa; Chordata; Mammalia; Artiodactyla; Camelidae
Source: RefSeq, a predicted model, not a curated record
UUUUCCGAAAGGAACAGCCACAUAAUGAAGGGGUGUGCAGCCAAAGCAGCUUCGAGAGGGAUGGGGAAAGGCAAUGAAAGAGGAUAAUGAUCCCACAGCUGCUGUCUGUCCUGAUGCUUUGAAGAGUGGGUGACCUGUCUCCGUGCCUGCAAACAAAGGGCCAGAGACAGGAGGCCGGCGGGCAGCCUGAGACACCAGGACUGAAUCCUAUUCCAUCAUAUGUAUAGACCACGUUUCAUUCAUCCAUUCAUCUGCUGAAGGACGCCUGGCUGCGAUCAGUUUUUGGUGACCGUAAAUCAUGCUGCUUUGAAAGUGAGUGUACACCUAUCUCUUGGAGAUCUUACUUUCGAUUCUUUGGGGUGUGUACUGGAUUGCAUAGUGAUUCUACACUUAAUCUGGGGGGAGCCCGCAUUACCUUUCUCCAUGGCAGCUGCAUCAUUUUACGUUUCCACCAACAGUGCAUGAGAGUUCUGAUUUCUCUACAUCCUCACCAACACUUGUUAUUUUCGGUUUUGGCUUUUUAAAUAACAGCCAUCAUAAGGGGUGUGAGGUGGUACCCAGUUGUAGUUAUGAAACAUUUUAAGUGUAAAUUUAUAAACGUAGUGGAGUAACACUAAGAAGGCAAAGUGGGCACCGGUCUCAGCAGAGGGGAAACAUCCUGUUGAUUAUUUCAAAUCUCUGCUCUUUAAUUUUUGAGCCCAGUCCUACCAAAGGGGGAGAAGAGAAACGACUGAGGAGGGGGCACACAGACCUAACACUGUUUGAUGGUCCUGUUUUGGCCUCUUUCUAAUCACAAGCUAGAAAAUUGAAAGGCUUUCAUAUUAACCAGCCCUGUUCCUGUCUUUGCUGCCAGAAGGAGACCAGAGAUUCAACAUCUCUUGGGAAGAGAGAAGAGAAGGGAAAAAUAUAUAUACCGUGCUUGUCUUCUGCCUGGAUUCUUUGAUUUAUUCCAUUUGGAAGAGAUGCUAGUGUCCCCAAUGUUGACAGUGUGUAUAGACUGGUGGGACUCUCUGAAGUCCUUUUUCCUAGAAAAGAGCUGAAAAACAGCAAGUGUGCGAGCGGAAGGGCGGCCGUCCCACCCCGGCUGGGAGCCGUCUCAGUGCUGAGCACCCCUCUGCUCCCUCCCGCGGCCUCGGCUGCUGGUGAGCUCAGCCAGCCUUGUGAGGAGUCACUUGUGGUAGAUUUCCAGAGCGCUCCGUUAUCCUUUCCUCUUCUUUUUAAUAUUACAGCCUGCGGAGACAGGUCAGUGUUUUUAUUGCCCACAUCUUAAGUGAAAACGUCUAGAGUGGGCACAAGAUAAUCAAGGGAAAAGACUGUGGUGCCAGGGUCGCACCCAAGCUCCUAGCCCCAACUUGGCCUUGGCCACUGGACCACACUGCUGCUUUCAUCUGACAGGAGGGCUGGCACCGGACACAGAUGAGAGAAACCAGAGCAGCCAGCCUUGGCAGAGACCUCGACCUCCCUUCUGCCGCCGGGCCAAGUCUGCCACUUGCUGCACCGCGGAAGCUCUGCGGUGUUUCGGGGGGGCGUGGAGGGAGGAGGUUUUGGAGGCACCUCCCCGUAUCUCGGCUCCGUGGGGCCCAGAGCUCCCCUUUAAUUGCUGCGAGGGAUCCCCAGAGAGGAGGCUGCACUGCACAUCAGGAGCUCCUUACCUUAAGACAAAAGAACACAAUCGUGAGGUGCCACCCUUCCCUCUUCCCUUGUUAGAGCGACUUCCAGUCGGCAAUGAGCAUCUCCGCCGAUGGUGCAAUGUCACCGAUGCCACCCGUGUUUCCCGUUCCAUCCCAGUCCCAGCGGAGAGAGAGAAGGGGGACCCGGCAUGGCAGAGGCGGGCCUGGGCUGUGCCGCCUGCACGUGGCGUGACGGGGAGGCCACAGCCUCAGGGCUCACGUGCCAUCGCUGACUCUUUGCUGUGUGUCCCACGGACGAGUGUCCUUCCUGUCCCCGCGGGACAGGACAAAAAGAACAGAAAAGGCUCCUUCCUGCACCUGCGUGCAGGCAGUUGAAAAUUCUGGAAACCUGUAAGCAGUAAAGAUUAACCAGAUUCUGGCUGAUUAGUAGCCGGUCACCUGGCUGAACGGGCUGGGUUUGAGUAAGUCAGUUUAGUGGGAGGUCAGCCCACCGGGAGUCAGCCCGACUCCAAAGGUCGCAGUGAAAACAAAAUCAUGCCAUUUACCCACAUUUCAGAGACUGGAUUAGGUUGUAAGGCUUGGUCUGGAAAGAAGGAUUAAUUAUUUCCAACUAGGUGGAUUCUGCGUCCUCUCAGCCAGUUUCUCCCUUGUGCUGUGGAGAAAGUGUAAGAUACAUCAUGGAUGUUGUGAUAUAAACACUGUCUCCCUGCCUGUACCACGGGGCAGACUAAUGAAAUAAUUCAAUCAGACCAGCUUCCGCCUCUGCCACGUUCUCAGCGGAAGCUCUGUGCUCUUGCGCUGCUGUGCGCAGGCUGCGCCCGUGCGGUUCCGCAGUUAGCAUCCCGACGUGAGGGUGGAGUUUACUGAGUCUAGCACCCUCUUACACUUACAGGACACA